This 3799-nucleotide long non-coding RNA is filed under the name Daucus carota (carrot). RNAcentral's name for it is "long non-coding RNA (DCAR_LNC003324)". Lineage: Eukaryota; Viridiplantae; Streptophyta; Magnoliopsida; Apiales; Apiaceae. The record is from RNAcentral.
CGAACUGAUUGGCAUACGUGACAGCACAUCCAUCGUUAAUGCAGCGUGGUGGGACAGGGAUCAGAAGAGCGCAGUUCAUGCAAUCAUAGCCGUUAUACUUUCUACAUUUUUCAGUGUUGCAACUGAUGGACUUAUAGGUUGGUAAAUCGAACUCAUCACAAUUGAACCAGGUGUGUUGGCCACCAAGAUCCAUCGCCAGGUUUAUAUUGUUGUCUCGUUUGAAAAUGUUUAAAGUAGUGUAGUACCUGGAGUACUUCCAAGUCUUUCCUUAUCGGAAAAAUAAGGGCAGUGGGCUGUGGAUUUUCAACAUUAGCAGCAUCUGAAACUGGUAAACACGAAGAACAAGAUAAUUAGACUACAGUGGAUUGAAUAAGACAUUGUUAUGAUGUUAUGAUUUUCUAGUGCUGAACAGAGUAAACAUUUAUAGAAGAUUAGUCUCCAGAUCUGUAUACACAAGGUGAUAACUGAGGGAGUCUUGAGUACCAUUUUUUAUUGCAACUGACUACCAGAAAAGAAGGAUAUGGAAGACCAGAUAUGUUAUGAACACAUUUGAGCAGAUUCCAUAAAUGGCCAUCAAAGUAUCUAUAUUUGUUUUUUGGAACAGUCAAAUUGUUCUAAAAAAAUGAAUCAUAUCAUCUGUUUUUUACUAUUGUCAGUCAUGUGUUUGCUACUUAGAUAAUGUUCAACUUGCAUGAAAGGUCAGAUGCCCCAACCUUAAGUCACCCAAGUCAAUACAGGAAGUCAACCAUGGAAUUUCCGGAUCCACAAACAUGGACAGGAUUUUAAUACAGGGGAACCAGAUGAUAUUUAGAUAAAAAAAAUUCAGAAUUUUACGUUAAAUUUUCUAUAUUUUUAGAGAUUUGAUAGGAACGGAGGCUCAGUCUAGUCCCUGUCUAGUUCCGUCCCUGCACACGAAUGUCUACAACAUCACUAGUAUAUUCAAUCUAGACUAUGUUAGGGUGGAUCUUUAGCAUAUGAAAGCUGAAAUCUUUUUGUUUUAGUUUUUGAUAAUUUUAAUUCAUUUUACAACCAGUAGUUAAUUUGGUAUCUUGGUGAGGUGACAUGUACAAUAUAGUUAGUUUCAUUUGAUCAUUUCUCUAUUGUACCAUGCUGUAAAAUUUGUGAAUGACCCUGCCCACAUUUAUAAUCAUGUGUGAUGUGUAGGUAGUUCAAUGCAGUUUGGACUAUGAUAAGUUGUGUUUUGGUUCAUGAUAUGCAAAAGUUAUGUAUGUGUAAGCUGCUACAAAGGGAUGUUGAAGAAAAUCCAACACAUCAUGAUGUUAUUUUUACAGAAAGAGGGCGCCUUAAAAUGUAUGCAUAAGGUUGGAUGGUCAGAUUGUUGUUUGCCUAAGAAGGAAGGGGGCCUAAACUUAAGGCAUCUUGAAGAUUGGCAUCAAUCUGCGAUCUUAUUUCAGUUGUGGCGUGUUAUCAGCAUGAAAGAAGACUCAUUUGGCUUAAUUGGGUGCAUAAUACUUUUUCAAAAUCUAAAUUCUUCUGGACUAUGGAGGUUCUGCAACGUUGUCCUUGGAGUCUUGGCAAAAUUCUCAAGUAUAGACCAGCUGCGCUUAAUCAUGUGAAGUAUGUAGUAGGAGUUACCCCUCUUUCUCACUAUGGUAUGAUCCUUGGUUUCGAGGAAAGUCACUCACUUAAACGUUGGGUAAUGGAAUCAUAUUUCUUGUAGAUUCUACGAACAAUGCAAAGGUAAAGGAUGGUACAACCCACCUUCGAAUCAGGUUCUACUCAGGGAUCUUCGUAAUCUCCUGGGUUCUUUCCAAAUUCAAAGCAGAAAUAGCAUUUUAUGGGAUGACCAGAAUGGUAUAAAAAAAUCUGAUAUGUGGAGGUCUAUUCGAAUAGAGCAGCUCCUGUUAUCUGGCAUGAUUUAAUUUGACAUAAACUCAUUAGUCUAAAACAUACUUUUCUAUUGUGGCUUGCUGUGAAGAAUAGAUUGUUAACCCGAGAUAGAAUGCUCAGAUUUAGUAUGCAAACUCAAUCUUAUUGCUUGCUCUGCCCUGCUAUUGUUGAAUCUGCGCAUCAGUUAUUCGUUCAAUGCCCAUUCUCGGAGGAAAUUAUAAAAUGCUGCCCAGUUGCUACUCCUGCGAAUUGGAGGGAUAAUGUGGAGUUUUUGACUUCAAUGAAAGGCAGCUCACUAAAGGUUAAACUGGCCCGACUUAUUUAUCAGCUGUUGCAUAUGUUAUUUGGACAGAAAGGAAUACAAGACUUCAUGGAGGAGAUUGUUUAAGCUGUUAAAGAGUAUAAGAUCAUGUUGAGUCCGUUCUCUACAACCUUAAGGUUUUAGAGCGACUGGUUACUUAACAUGGUACCAGUGCAGAGAACCACCAUUCCAUGUAAAAUCUUUUUAAAAAGAAAAUUACAUUCAUCAAACUAACCGAAGGAAAACUCAUAUUAUGCUAAGUGUCAACUUUCUCACAUGUAAGUGCCAUUAGUUUCUAACUGAUCUCUUCCUUUUCUUUAGUAUUUAAACGUUGAAACUUCAAUUAAUCAUGAGAAUGUGCAUCAAGCAGCAUUGCACCUCCAUAAUAUUUAGAUUUUCUCUUAUUAAAACUCCUCCAUCUGAAGCAAUAUCAAUCCCAGUGAAAUAUUGUUCAAUUGAGCCCAGCAAGAACCUACUGCUAGUAAAUUUAUAGGACUCUGGACUGGCUGCAAGUUGUAUUUCGAGUUAAAAGUGAAGAGCUAAUCCCUACAUUGGAAGAAAUAAGAUCGAACUCGAUAAGAUAAUUCUCUAGUUGAUGCCCUCCUAUGACAACUGAAGUUCUUGGAAAUUUUCCUCCAUCCACAAAUGCCAGGCAUAAUACUUCUUCAUUCACCGAUACCAUUGAGUUGGCUCCGUAAAGUCUCCAUUCGUUCUUGCCCCCUGCAAAACCGAUAUCUAUAUGUGGCACCGCAGGUCCUGUCUUGCUUUUGGGAAUGUUUGUGGCAUUGAAACACACAUCGAAGGGUCCGUCUACUCUUUUCAUCUUCCUGCUAGCUGCAGCCUCAGUAAAAGCAGUAACGAAAACUGUAUAGAGAGUUCUCUGUAAACUUGUGAAAGGAAAUCGAGUACUAAAUGUAGUACCUCCAAAGCCAUCUUCGUUGAUGGAUAGUAAAGAAGCAUUAAGAGGGACAAGUUUCUGAUCAAUAGUAAUAGAUUUGAGAUGUACGAAAUAUUCGUCGUAAGGGUCAGUUACUGUAUAAAUUUUGUCAGUAUCAACAGGGUAACUAAUGAGUUUUGUGGUGAUCAACUUUUUAGCAAUGUUCUUAGAAUAUGGCCGAAAUAUGUAUGGCCCCCCGCCAAUAAACAUGUGGCCAUGUAUAGGACCAGAUGUAGAGGGCAAACAAAGAGCAAAUUUGUGAGGUAAAUUAAACUGUGCUGCCAUUUGUGCAGGCAAGGAAGUAGUUGUAUUUACGAGGCCUAUCAUACCUUUGGUUCCACUGGCUAGAUUUCUCAAGUAAUCAGAACAUGAAAAUGGAAAUGGAUCAGGAGAUUUGUAGGUUAAUCCAACUGAUAAGCCAUUGGUAGACUCGACAAAUAAGGCAUCUUCUGCUAGGCUGUUGUUAAUAUCUUGAAAAGCAAAUGGAUUGGAAUAGGUGACAGCACAUGCAUUGUUAGUGCACCGUGGUGGGACAGGGAUCAGAAGAGCGCAGUUCAUGCAAUCAUAGCCCUUAUACUUUCUACAUUUUUCAGUGUUGCAACUGAUGGACUUAUAGGUUGGUAAAUCGAAGUCAUCACAAUUGAACCAGGUGUGUUGGCCACCAAGAUCCAUCGCCAGGUUUAUAUUGUUGUCUUGUUUGGAAAUGUUUA